UAGACAGUGAGUGUCUGCGGGGAACAUGA
RNAcentral lists this non-coding RNA (29 nucleotides) under Mus musculus (house mouse). Lineage: Eukaryota; Metazoa; Chordata; Mammalia; Rodentia; Muridae. The record is from RNAcentral.